RNAcentral lists this ribosomal RNA (440 nucleotides) under uncultured bacterium. RNAcentral describes it as "partial 16S ribosomal RNA". It matches the Rfam family "Bacterial small subunit ribosomal RNA", at positions 338 to 795 of the family's 1533-position model. The record is from RNAcentral.
CCUACGGGGGGCAGCAGUAGGGAAUAUUGCUCAAUGGGGGAAACCCUGAAGCAGCAACGCCGCGUGGAGGAUGAAGGUUUUAGGAUUGUAAACUCCUUUUGUUAGAGAAGAUAAUGACGGUAUCUAACGAAUAAGCACCGGCUAACUCCGUGCCAGCAGCCGCGGUAAUACGGAGGGUGCAAGCGUUACUCGGAAUCACUGGGCGUAAAGAGCGCGUAGGCGGGAUAGCAAGUCAGAUGUGAAAUCCUAGGGCUUAACCAUAGAACUGCAUUUGAAACUGUUAUUCUAGAGUAUGGGAGAGGUAGGUGGAAUUCUUGGUGUAGGGGUAAAAUCCGUAGAGAUCAAGAGGAAUACUCAUUGCGAAGGCGACCUGCUAGAACAUAACUGACGCUGAUGCGCGAAAGCGUGGGGAGCAAACAGGAUUAGAUACCCCGGUAGUC